Molecule: ribosomal RNA, 490 nt
Filed under: uncultured bacterium
Lineage: Bacteria
Description: partial 16S ribosomal RNA
Rfam family: Bacterial small subunit ribosomal RNA
Source: RNAcentral
AUUGAACGCUGGCGGCAGGCCUAACACAUGCAAGUCGAACGGUAACAGGAAGAAGCUUGCUUCUUUGCUGACGAGUGGCGGACGGGUGAGUAAUGUCUGGGAAACUGCCUGAUGGAGGGGGAUAACUACUGGAAACGGUAGCUAAUACCGCAUAACGUCGCAAGACCAAAAAGGGGGACCUUCGGGCCUCUUGCCAUCGGAUGUGCCCAGAUGGGAUUAGCUAGUAGGUGGGGUAACGGCUCACCUAGGCGACGAUCCCUAGCUGGUCUGAGAGGAUGACCAGCCACACUGGAACUGAGCCACGGUCCAGCCUCCUACGGGAGGCAGCAGUGGGGAAUAUUGCACAAUGGGCGCAAGCCUGAUGCAGCCCUGCCGCGUGUAUGAAGAAGGCCUUCGGGUUGUAAAGUACUUUCAGCGGGGAGGAAGGGAGUAAAGUUAAUACCUUUGCUCAUUGACGUUACCCGCAGAAGAAGCACCGGCUAACUCCGUG